Molecule: ribosomal RNA, 467 nt
Filed under: uncultured bacterium
Lineage: Bacteria
Description: partial 16S ribosomal RNA
Rfam family: Bacterial small subunit ribosomal RNA
Source: RNAcentral
GACGAACGCUGGCGGCGUGCUUAACACAUGCAAGUCGAACGGAAAGGCUCCAGCUUGCUGGAGUACUCGAGUGGCGAACGGGUGAGUAACACGUGGGUAAUCUGCCCUGCACUCUGGGAUAAGCCUGGGAAACUGGGUCUAAUACUGGAUAUGACCUUUCUCCUUAUGGGGUUUGGUGGAAAGUUUUUCGGUGUAGGAUGAGCCCGCGGCCUAUCAGCUUGUUGGUGGGGUGAUGGCCUACCAAGGCGACGACGGGUAGCCGGCCUGAGAGGGUGAUCGGCCACAUUGGGACUGAGAUACGGCCCAGACUCCUACGGGAGGCAGCAGUGGGGAAUAUUGCACAAUGGGCGGAAGCCUGAUGCAGCGACGCCGCGUGAGGGAUGACGGCCUUCGGGUUGUAAACCUCUUUCAGCAGGGACGAAGCGUAAGUGACGGUACCUGCAGAAGAAGCACCGGCUAACUAUGUA